CGGCCGGGAACUCAAAGGAGACUGCCAGUGAUAAACUGGAGGAAGGUGGGGAUGACGUCAAGUCAUCAUGGCCCUUACGACCAGGGCUACACACGUGCUACAAUGGCAUAUACAAAGAGAAGCGACCUCGCGAGAGCAAGCGGACCUCAUAAAGUAUGUCGUAGUCCGGAUUGGAGUCUGCAACUCGACUCCAUGAAGUCGGAAUCGCUAGUAAUCGUAGAUCAGAAUGCUACGGUGAAUACGUUCCCGGGCCUUGUACACACCGCCCGUCACACCAUGGGAGUGGGUUGC
Molecule: ribosomal RNA, 291 nt
Filed under: Klebsiella quasipneumoniae subsp. similipneumoniae
Lineage: Bacteria; Pseudomonadati; Pseudomonadota; Gammaproteobacteria; Enterobacterales; Enterobacteriaceae
Description: partial 16S ribosomal RNA
Rfam family: Bacterial small subunit ribosomal RNA
Source: RNAcentral